AGAGAGCAUCAAAUGAAAGAUAUUCGACUUGUUACAUCACCCUGAUCAUCCGUGGAUUCAUGCAGAAGGCUAUUUGGCAAACCUCAUGGAAAGAAAGCAGGAUUGGAGUCUGCUGUUUCGAGCUGGAAACAUCAUGCGUGGCCAUCAUACAAACAACUAUGCAGAGUCCAACAUGUGUCUCAUCAAGGAUGUUAUCUUGAACAGGUGCAAAGCAUACAAUACAUGCCAGCUCAUCAUGUUCAUGAAUGAGAUCUACGAUGGCUACAUGAAGCAACGCCUUCUUGAUGUGGCCUUAUGCCGAAGAAAAAUUAAAAAAUCAAUGAUCGCCACCAUCCCCCCAGAACAUGUUA
Molecule: long non-coding RNA, 350 nt
Organism: Macrobrachium nipponense
Lineage: Eukaryota; Metazoa; Arthropoda; Malacostraca; Decapoda; Palaemonidae
Exons: 3
Source: RefSeq, a predicted model, not a curated record